This 343-nucleotide unclassified non-coding RNA is filed under the name soil metagenome. RNAcentral describes it as "partial contains 5.8S ribosomal RNA, internal transcribed spacer 2, and large subunit ribosomal RNA". The stretch from base 1 to 120 matches the Rfam family "5.8S ribosomal RNA", at positions 35 to 154 of the family's 154-position model. The record is from RNAcentral.
GAUGAAGAACGCAGCGAAAUGCGAUAAGUAAUGUGAAUUGCAGAAUUCAGUGAAUCAUCGAAUCUUUGAACGCACAUUGCGCCCGCUAGUAUUCUGGCGGGCAUGCCUGUCCGAGCGUCAUUUCAACCCUCAAGCCCCCGGGCUUGGUGUUGGGGAUCGGCGAGCCUCCGCGCCCGCCGUCCCCUAAAUCUAGUGGCGGUCUCGCUGUAGCUUCCUCUGCGUAGUAGCACACCUCGCACUGGGAAACAGCGCGGCCACGCCGUUAAACCCCCAACUUCUGAACGUUUGACCUCGGAUCAGGUAGGAAUACCCGCUGAACUUGAGCAUAUCAAUAAGCGGAGGA